CCGCUCUCUUCCUGUCACUGACAGAACCAAAACAAUACACGUCACUGGACUGUACCAUUACCAACACUGUCACUAUGGCUCGUACCAUUAGCAGCAGACAACAUUGUCAAUUUGCAGUGGUUAUCUCAUGAAGACAAAUCCUUUUUAAUCUGAUCAUCUGAAUGCAAUGGAUCUGGUUUCAGACACCCCUGGAAUUCAGUAUUUAUGGAUGGAGCAAGCAGCCAGCGAAUAGCGACCAUGGAACGCAUGGAUGAGCUGUGUCCACCAGAAUGCAAGACAGUCAUUGUAAGCAGAUUUAGGUAAAUGUCCUGAAAAAACA
Hyla sarda is the source of this 319-nucleotide long non-coding RNA. RefSeq lists it as uncharacterized. The transcript has 2 exons. Lineage: Eukaryota; Metazoa; Chordata; Amphibia; Anura; Hylidae. The record is from RefSeq and is a predicted model, not a curated record.